GGAUGUGAGCAUGAUCAGGCUGGCUAGGCCAGUGACCUCCAACCCUCACUGCUCCAUGCGUCUGUCUCCGUGGAGGCUUCAUGCUUGGUCAAAGAGAAUGACCUUCCCUAAAUAGAGGAUGGUUCAGUCAAGGGUAUAUAAGCAGCUACGCCCCCCUGCAGGAACCUCCAACAAGCUCUCAAGAAAUAAACUUGCAUCUGUUCGGCAGAGACAAGACAUUUGCAGUGCUGACUGAGAUUCUGCUGUGGUUU
This 251-nucleotide small nuclear RNA is filed under the name Rattus norvegicus (Norway rat). RNAcentral's name for it is "7SK RNA". It matches the Rfam family "7SK RNA". Rfam says of the family: 7SK was discovered as an abundant small nuclear RNA in the mid-70s but a possible function has only recently been suggested. Two independent studies have found that 7SK RNA binds the CDK9/cyclin T complex (known as elongation factor P-TEFb). P-TEFb activates transcription by phosphorylating the C-terminal domain of RNA polymerase II. Lineage: Eukaryota; Metazoa; Chordata; Mammalia; Rodentia; Muridae. The record is from Rfam by way of RNAcentral.